GUGUUCCCUGCCCUCACGGGUAGAAACGCCCACCCUUUGUAUAUUAUAUCUUUGUUGCUUUGGCAGGCCGUCUUUGGGCGCCGGCUCCGGCUGGAUCGUGCCUGCCAAAGAAAACCCAAACUCUGAAUGUUAGUGUCGUCCGAGUACUAUCUAAUAGUUAAAACUUUCAACAACGGAUCUCUUGGUUCU
Molecule: unclassified non-coding RNA, 189 nt
Filed under: rhizosphere metagenome
Description: partial ribosomal RNA internal transcribed spacer region
Source: RNAcentral